CCCUUAGAUGUUCUGGGCCGCACGCGUGCUACACUGAGUGGAUCAGCGGGUCAGGUUGCGCGAAAGUGUUUCCUAAUCUUGAAAUCCGCUCGUGAUGGGGAUUGACGGUUGCAAUUUUCCGUCAUGAACGAGGAAUACCUUGUAAGCGCGGGUCAUCAUCCCGCGCUGAAUACGUCCCUGCCCUUUGUACACACCGCCCGUCGCUCCUACCGAUUGAGUGGUCCGGUGAGGCUUUGGGAUCUGAGCGGAAAGAGCGUUUCGCUGUUUCUGCUCGGAAAACUCAGUCGAACCUUAUCAUUUAGAGGAAGGGGAAGUCGUAACA
Molecule: ribosomal RNA, 322 nt
Filed under: uncultured eukaryote
Lineage: Eukaryota
Description: partial 18S ribosomal RNA
Rfam family: Eukaryotic small subunit ribosomal RNA
Source: RNAcentral